Molecule: ribosomal RNA, 680 nt
Filed under: uncultured bacterium
Lineage: Bacteria
Description: bacterial SSU rRNA
Rfam family: Bacterial small subunit ribosomal RNA
Source: RNAcentral
UCGGGGUACUAGUUACUUCGGUGAUGCACUUAACAGAUUAAGUGUUCCGCCUGGGGAGUACGGUCGCAAGAUUAAAACUCAAAGGAAUAGACGGGGACCCGCACAAGUGGUGGAGCAUGUGGUUUAAUUCGAAGAUACGCGAAGAACCUUACCUAGCCUUGACAUUGAUAAAACACUCUAGAGAUAGAGUGGUGCCCUUCGGGGAAUUUGAAAACAGGUGCUGCACGGCUGUCGUCAGCUCGUGUCGUGAGAUGUUGGGUUAAGUCCCGCAACGAGCGCAACCCUCGUCCUUAGUUGCCAGCAGUUCGGCUGGGCACUCUAAGGAGACUGCCUUCGCAAGGAGGAGGAGGGUGAGGACGACGUCAAGUCAUCAUGGCCCUUAUGGCUAGGGCUACACACGUGCUACAAUGGGGCGUACAGAGAGUUGCGAUACCGCGAGGUGGAGCCAACCUCAUAAAGCGUCUCUCAGUUCGGAUUGUAGUCUGCAACUCGACUACAUGAAGCUGGAAUCACUAGUAAUCGUAGAUCAGCAAUGCUACGGUGAAUACGUUCCCGGGUCUUGUACUCACCGCCCGUCACACCAUGGGAGUUGAUUUCACCCGAAAUUGGGAAGCUAACCUUCGGGAGGCUACCACUUACGGUGGAAUUAGCGACUGGGGUGAAGUCGUAACAAGGUAACC